AUUGAACGCUGGCGGCAGGCCUAACACAUGCAAGUCGAACGAGUGGCGGACGGGUGAGUAAUGUCUGGGAAACUGCCCGAUGGAGGGGGAUAACUACUGGAAACAGUAGCUAAUACCGCAUACCAUCGGAUGUGCCCAGAUGGGAUUAGCUAGUAGGUGGGGUAACGGCUCACCUAGGCGACGAGCCCUAGCUGGUCUGCGUGGAUGACCAGCCACACGUGAACUGAGACACGGUCCAGACUCCUACGGGAGGCAGCAGUGGGGAAUAUUGCACAAUGGGCGCAAGCCUGAUGCAGCCAUGCCGCGGGUAUGAAGAAGGCUUUCGGGUUGUAAAGUACUUUCAGCGAGGAAGCGUUACUCGCAGAAGAAGCACCGGCUAACUCCGUGCCAGCCGCCGCGGUAAUUC
This 406-nucleotide ribosomal RNA is filed under the name uncultured bacterium. RNAcentral describes it as "partial 16S ribosomal RNA". It matches the Rfam family "Bacterial small subunit ribosomal RNA", at positions 30 to 526 of the family's 1533-position model. The record is from RNAcentral.